UACGUAGGGGGCGAGCGUUGUCCGGAUUCAUUGGGCGUAAAGAGCUCGUAGGCGGUUUGAUAAGUCGGGUGUGAAAUCUCCAGGCUCAACCUGGAGAGGUCACUCGAGACUGUUAUGACUAGAGUCCGGUAGGGGACCACGGAAUUCCUGGUGUAGCGGUGAAAUGCGCAGAUAUCAGGAGGAACACCAGUGGCGAAGGCGGUGGUCUGGGCCGGAACUGACGCUGAGGAGCGAAAGCGUGGGUAGCAAACAG
This 253-nucleotide ribosomal RNA is filed under the name uncultured bacterium. Its description in RNAcentral is "partial 16S ribosomal RNA". It matches the Rfam family "Bacterial small subunit ribosomal RNA", at positions 524 to 775 of the family's 1533-position model. The record is from RNAcentral.